Piliocolobus tephrosceles (Ugandan red Colobus) is the source of this 798-nucleotide RNA transcript. It is a transcript of the gene named protein BUD31 homolog pseudogene, with no coding region annotated. Lineage: Eukaryota; Metazoa; Chordata; Mammalia; Primates; Cercopithecidae. The transcript has a single exon. The record is from RefSeq and is a predicted model, not a curated record.
AAGCAGAUACCCAAGGUUCCGGAGGUUCGAUGAAACCGAGGACCACAGAGGGAAAGUGACCUCAAAGUCACAGAGUAAUUUUUUAGAGCUGGACAAGAAUCCAAGCCUGCAACUGCAGAGACCAGAGAUCUUUCUUCUAUCUAUACUCUUGGGAAGCACAUCCGAAGAUCUUUGCAAAUUAUCGUGUGGAAGGAAAAUGCCUGAAGUCAAAAGAAGCCGGAAAGCACCCCCAGAUGGCUGGAAGUUGAUUGAGCCAACACUGGAUGAAUUAGAUCAAAAGAUGAGAGAAGCUGAAACAGAACCGCAUGAGGGAAAAAGGAAUGUGGAAUCUCUGUGGCCCACCUUCAGGAUCCACCACCAGAAAACCCGCUACAUCUUUGACCUCUUUUACAAGCGGAAAGCCAUCAGCAGAGAACUCUGUGAAUACUGUAUUAAAGAAGGCUAUGCAGACAAAAACCUGAUUGCAAAAUGGAAAAAGCAAGGGUAUGAGAACUUGUGCUGCCUGCGGUGCAUUCAGACAAGGGACACCAACUUCGGGACGAACUGCAUCUGCCGUGUGCCCAAAAGCAAGCUGGAAGUGGGCCGCAUCAUCGAGUGCACACACUGUGGCUGCCAUGGCUGCUCUGGCUGAGGCUGGUGCUCUCCACCCUGGACUCUGGACUUCGCAGGUUCCUGCCUGUGGCGCCACCCCCUUCCUGGGAGCAGCGAGCAGUGCCCCAGGCCCGAGUUGGAGCACAGUCUCUACGGGGAAGGCUUCGCUGUCCAUCAGCUGUGAUUUGAAAAAAAAAAAUCUUCAAA